AAUGAACGCUGGUGGCAGACCUAACACAUGCAAGUCGAAACGGGUCUAUAUUAAACUUCGGUUUUUUAUAGAUAGUGGCAAACGGGUGAGUAAAGCAUGGGAAUCUACCUAGAAGUUUGGAAUAGCUAUUAGAAAUGAUAGAUAAUACCAAAUACACCUCGAGAGGGAAAGUUGACUUCGGUCUUCGCUUUUAGAUGAGCCCAUGUUAAAUUAGUAGUGUAGGUAAUGGCCUACAAGAUGAUGAUUUAUAGCUGGUCUUAGAGGAUGAUCAGCCACACUGGAAUUGAGAUACGGUCCAGACUCCUACGGGAGGCAGCAGUGGGAAUAUUGGACAAUGGGCGCAAGCCUGAUCCAGCCAUGCCACGU
This 366-nucleotide ribosomal RNA is filed under the name uncultured bacterium. RNAcentral's name for it is "bacterial SSU rRNA". It matches the Rfam family "Bacterial small subunit ribosomal RNA", at positions 29 to 402 of the family's 1533-position model. The record is from RNAcentral.